CUUCCCUUCUUCUCUAGGGAAAAAGUACUCAUUGCUUUUCUCUGCACUAGACAUUUCUAAUUUGUUCUGUCUGUCAGAACGGGACUAUGAGAGGUUUUGGUGCAAAUUCAUUAUCUCUGACAAUGCAUAACGUAUAGUAGGAACUGAAAAAGACCGUGGCAAUGGAUGAAGAACAAUAGAGCUUCAGUUCAUCAGCAACAAAAGCGUUGGGGAAAUUGGUUGAAUUUCAGAGCACGUCCUUCUCAGCAGAGAGGCUGGACUAGACCUUGGCCAAACCCCCAAAAUCUUGCAGAACCUCACAUACAACAGUUCACUUUCUACUCCAGGGUGUGGGCAAAAGUGUGGAAAAAGAAAAAAACAAUGGCAAAACCAAGCCAACUUUCUCCAUUUCUCCCCCGUUUUCAUGGAUGGAAGAUUUUAAACUAUUUUAGAGUCGUUUGAGCAAGAACAACACCAUGGAUUUAAGGGAUACUUUUAAAUAGAGAUGGAGAGGGGAAACACUUGAAUUUCUGGAGACCUGAAAGAGCUUUUUCUGUUCCUAGGGGCCUUGGCUGUGAGAAUCUUUGUUUGCCACCAGAGGCUCAGCUCACCACCCUACAUGUGGGGUAAAAAUCACUCCCUGAUAAAGGCGAAGAUAUAGUGUGGCUACUGACCCAUCUUCCUGAGGAGAAUGGCUGAGAUGUCUUUGAAAUUAUUCCUGGAAUUCGACCAGCAUGAGAUCUCUACCAAACUGAGGGGCGACUGCAGCUGGCUGUGACUGCUCUUGCGGAAGAGCUGGAGCCUGGAUGGUUAUAAUGUCUGUGGGUUCCACUGCUGCACCAUUACCCUCUUUGAGGCAAGGGGAGGAUUUCCCACCACCUGCUGAAGUUACAUCUCACCUAUUUCCUUCAGCAGAACCCCCACCCAAUCCGGGUAUAUAGAGAGGUUUUUCAGCGACUUCUGUGAGCCAGAAAGAAAUUUGGUAAGAGGAUCCAUGUUUACCCAUGAAAGAAUUUCCUACCAAUGUUGUUGACAUAGAAACCAAGAAAGAAGGGUAAAUAAGAGAAACCUGCAAUUGUCUAUUCCACUAAGCACUUUGUCUCUUCUGACCAGUGAGUAAAGUGUAAACUUAGGAGUUUUUUAAAGAAUGUAUAAAAAGCAUGCAUGCUGGAACAAAAACGGGUUUGAAGCCUUCUGAAAAUGGAGUAUUGCUUUAUAUUGUCUCCAUUUCAACUAUGACUGUCUCAACUACAACAAAUGGUGACGUCCAUAGUGAUGGGGGAGCAGCUGAGAAGGGCUGCCGGCAGCCGGAAGAGCUGCAACAGUUGGGCUGUGGGGUGAGGCACGGCCAGACGCAGGGCCCCAGUGUAGCUUUUGAGAGCAGCCGAAAGAUGUUGUCAGUCUGGAUGAAAUUGAUUUUGACACCUGGAAUGCAGGUAAGCCACUGGGAACAAUGGGGAGCUCCAGUAAAGUGUAAAGCAACAUGGGGAGCUGCUGUAGGUCCAGACUGAUCUUUCAUACUUUCAUGUAAUAAAAGUGAGCCACUGGGGAACAUAAUGAAGCAUCAGUUAAUAAGGGAAAAGUUUUGCUUCAAAGUUUUGCUGAAGAAGAAGGAUUUUCAAGCUUUUAAUCGUGCCCUUCAUGGUGUGUUGUUGUGGAAAAAUCAUGACUUUGAAACUGAUGCUAGUGUUGCCUUUAAUAUUAAGUGUCAGAAUAUGGAAGACAGAACAAGAAAUGGGAGUUAAUGGGGAACAGCAGAAAGAUGGGAUUCAGCUUGUGAAUGUGUUUUUCCCAGAGGAGUCUGAUGGAGUUUCUUUUGCGGGGAUUUUUCUGAGGUCUACUAUCAUGGGAGACAGGUGGUGCUCCUCGGUAUGUCUCUGAAGGACUGUAUUAAGCCUGUGUGGCUUUCUUUGACACAACAAUUAAUCAAACUGAAUGCUAAGUUAAAAUAUGUUACUUCUGCUGAAAUGCAUUCACAGUAGAGACAAACUGAAGAACAAGCUGAGAUGUUUGUCCCCCCACUCCCUGCCGAACUGAGCAGAAGAAUGAACUCAUUAAAUCUGUAAUUUGUCGUUGCCUGAAAAAUGCCGGUGAUAAGAUUUCCAGGAGGAUCCUCUACCCUUCCCUCUUCCCACCCUGCGACGAGCCGGCACCCAGGAGAGGGUGCUGCGGGUGUGAGGGAGAGACGCCACUGUUCAGGACCCCCUUGAACCCCUAGGACCUCUCCCCCAUCCUUAUUGCCCUUCCGCAGGCUGUGCAAAGGGGGCGGGAGCUGCAUCCCAAUGGAGGGGGCCAACUGUCUCAACUGUCUGCUGCAGUUGGAGGAAGUCCGUGGGGAGGGCUCAGAUCUCUCAAAAGUGUUGGGAGCUGCUCAGAGCUCUGUGUUGCUGCUCCACGUAGAACAACCUGGACCAAAGAGGUCUUUGAUCUACAGGGCUACCUCAAGUAUUUAGGACUCAAAAAGUGACAGAUCAAUGCCUGGAAAAGGAAUGCAUUAUUACAGCCAAGGGACAUUAUCCAGAUGCCACAAUUAUAACAGGUUUUAUUAACAUGGGAGGAGAUGUAGCUAGACCUUCACAACUUUUUUGGCCUCAACUAUAGCCUCUCAUUCAAGCAGGUUUUGGAAACAUGGAACUCAGUGGCUCUGCUACAGGAGGUCUGUCUGCCAUUGUGAUUAAUGUAAAAAAUGCUUAUGGCCAACAAGCUAACAUCAGGCCUUAUGUUUCCAAUGCCCCAUGUAACUUAUGGGGAUGAGAUUGUUUAUCCCAAUGGGGUGUUAAAAUUACUAUGGAUUUUUAGCAGGGACCACUGUGAUGCAAGCUUAAGAGUCCAGUUGUAACGUUGACGUGGUUAACAGGUAAACAUGUCUGGAUUGACCAGUAGCUGCUUCUUAUUGAAAAGCUUACUGCCCUGCAAGCAUUAGUAGCAGAACAUAUUGAAGAGUGAGCUGGACAUAUUGAAGAGUCAUUUAGUUCAUGGAAUCCCCCUGCUUUUGUGAUUAAAAAAAAAUCAGGAAAAUGGAAACUUUUGCAUGAUCUACAGCAAAUAAAUGCUGUAAUGGUUACAAUGGGAUCUUUACAACCAGGUCCUCUAACACCUACAAUGAUUCUACAGGGAUGGGAGAUAAUUAUCAUUGAUUUCAAAGAUUGCUUUUUUACCAUUCCAUUGGCUGAACAAGAUAAGGAAAAAUUUGCUUUUACCAUGCUGUGUUUAAAUCAUGCUGAAACUAAUAAAAAACAUCAAUGGAAAAUUCUAAUGGUUUGUGGCACAGGCCUUAUCAAAGGUGCAAGAGCAAUUUAGUAAUUACUAUUGCAAUCAUUAUGUGGAUGAUAUCUUGUUGGGUUCUGAUAAUAAACAACAGCUGUCAGAUCUUGAACAAUGUGCUGUAACAAAUUUGAAAACUUUUGGAUUUCAUUAUUGCCUCAGAGAAUGUAUGAAAAUAGAUGCCUUGGAAAUACUUGGGGUUGAUAAUAACAAAUACUUGGAUUAUGUCUCAACCUGUAAAAUUAGACAUUGAAGUUAAAACUGUUACUGAUGUAUAAAAAUUGGUUCAUGCAACAGCUUGGAUUAGGUCAUAUUUAGGAAUAAUUUAUUAUCAAAUGCAACCUUGGUUUGAAUUAUUGUCAGGGAUUACUUCUACUGAUGAGAGAUAUUUGAUUGAUGUAGUAAAAAAAAGGUAAAUGGUAAUGAAAAAAAAAAGGUAAUGAAAAAAGUUGAAUUAGCUUUGACCUGUACAAGUACCAGGACAAGUACUUCUGUUGGUGUGUUAUAAUUUAUUUUGAAAGAACAAAAAUAUAAUGUGGACUGUUGUGUCAAUAGAAUGAUAAUUGGGAAGAUAAAUUAUAUAUUUUAGAAUGGGUAUAUUUAUCUUUCAGGUCUCAAAAAACAGUUUCAGGACUAUGAGGUUUUUGCAGAUAUCAUUAUCAAGGUCAGAUGUUGUCAUAAAAUCUUAGGCCGUGAUCCUGUAAAUAUUGUGAUAUCUGUAUAAUAAUA
Molecule: long non-coding RNA, 3972 nt
Organism: Zonotrichia leucophrys gambelii
Lineage: Eukaryota; Metazoa; Chordata; Aves; Passeriformes; Passerellidae
Exons: 3
Source: RefSeq, a predicted model, not a curated record